UCACCCGCUUCACCUCCCUGAGCGGGUGCCUACAAGCGAGGCGUUUCUUACCCACGGCGAUAUCCCCUUGAGCCGUGGGUUUCUUUUU
RNAcentral lists this non-coding RNA (88 nucleotides) under Methyloversatilis universalis FAM5. RNAcentral's name for it is "Burkholderia RNA 7 (anti-hemB)". It matches the Rfam family "Burkholderia RNA 7 (anti-hemB)". From Rfam's summary of the family: This RNA motif was identified by computational search in b-proteobacteria Burkholderia. Co-purified with Hfq, expression confirmed by Northern blot. Putative functional homologue of SP-RydB and predicted target hemB. The record is from Rfam by way of RNAcentral. Lineage: Bacteria; Pseudomonadati; Pseudomonadota; Betaproteobacteria; Nitrosomonadales; Sterolibacteriaceae.